UACGUAGGUUCCGAGCGUUAUCCGGAUUUACUGGGCGUAAAGCGCGUUCAGGCGGUUUGGCAAGUCGGGCGUGAAAUCUCUCGGCUCAACCGGGAGAGGUUGUCCGAUACUGCUGGACUUGAGGGCAGUAGAGGGUGGUGGAAUUCCGGGUGUAGUGGUGAAAUGCGUAGAUAUCCGGAGGAACACCAGUGGCGAAAGCGGCCACCUGGACUGCACCUGACGCUGACACGCGAAAGCUAGGGGAGCGAACGGG
This 253-nucleotide ribosomal RNA is filed under the name uncultured bacterium. Its description in RNAcentral is "partial 16S ribosomal RNA". It matches the Rfam family "Bacterial small subunit ribosomal RNA", at positions 524 to 776 of the family's 1533-position model. The record is from RNAcentral.